RNAcentral lists this ribosomal RNA (114 nucleotides) under Pteropus alecto (black flying fox). Lineage: Eukaryota; Metazoa; Chordata; Mammalia; Chiroptera; Pteropodidae. The record is from RNAcentral.
GUCUACGGCCAUUCCACUCUGAACAAGCCCGAUGUCUGAUCUCAGAAGCUAAGCAGGGUCAGGCCUGGUUAAUAUUUGAGGGACACCACCUAGGAAGACCAGGUGCUGUAGGCG